Molecule: ribosomal RNA, 253 nt
Filed under: uncultured bacterium
Lineage: Bacteria
Description: partial 16S ribosomal RNA
Rfam family: Bacterial small subunit ribosomal RNA
Source: RNAcentral
UACGUAGGGUGCAAUCGUUGUCCGGAAUUAUUGGGCGUAAAGAGCUCGUAGGCGGUUUGUCGCGUCGGCCGUGAAAUCUCCACGCUUAACGUGGAGCGUGCGGUCGAUACGGGCAAACUGGAGUGUUGCAGGGGAGACUGGAAUUCCUGGUGUAGCGGUGAAAUGCGCAGAUAUCAGGAGGAACACCGGUGGCGAAGGCGGGUCUCUGGGCAACACUGACGCUGAGGAGCGAAAGCGUGGGGGAGCGAACAGG